This 253-nucleotide ribosomal RNA is filed under the name uncultured bacterium. Its description in RNAcentral is "partial 16S ribosomal RNA". It matches the Rfam family "Bacterial small subunit ribosomal RNA", at positions 524 to 776 of the family's 1533-position model. The record is from RNAcentral.
UACGUAGGGUGCAAGCGUUGUCCGGAAUUAUUGGGCGUAAAGAGCUCAUAGGCGGUUUGUCGCGUCGAAUGUGAAAACCCGGGGCUCAACCCCGGGCCUGCAUUCGAUACGGGCAGACUAGAGUUCGGUAGGGGAGUCUGGAAUUCCUGGUGUAGCGGUGAAAUGCGCAGAUAUCAGGAGGAACACCGGUGGCGAAGGCGGGACUCUGGGCCGAUACUGACGCUGAGGAGCGAAAGCGUGGGGAGCAAACAGG